GAUGAAGAACGUAGCGAAAUGCGAUAAGUAAUGUGAAUUGCAGAAUUCAGUGAAUUAUCGAAUCUUUGAACGCACCUUGCGCCCUUUGGCCAUUCCGAAGGGCAUGCCUGUUUGAGUAUCAUGAACACCUCAACUCUUCAUGGUUUUCCAUGAUGAGCUUGGACUUUGGGGGUCUUGCUGGCCUGUGGGUCGGCUCCUCUCAAAUGAAUCAGCUUGCCGGUUUUUGGUGGGCAUCACAGGUGUGAUAACUAUCUACGCUUGUGGUUUUCCACCAGGGUAACCUUCAGCAGUGGAGGUUCACUGGGGCUUACAAAUGUCUCUCCUCUGUGAGGACAGCCCUUUGAAUGUUUGAUCUCAAAUCAGGUAGGACUACCCGCUGAACUUAAGCAUAUCAAUAAGCGGAGGA
Molecule: unclassified non-coding RNA, 406 nt
Filed under: soil metagenome
Description: partial contains 5.8S ribosomal RNA, internal transcribed spacer 2, and large subunit ribosomal RNA
Rfam family: 5.8S ribosomal RNA (bases 1-121)
Source: RNAcentral